GCCAUUUCUAGCCCAACCAUCCACACAUAUAACCAAACACACCAUUAAAACAAAACAUUCACCACACUUAAAGUAUAGGAGAUAGAAAUAUAUCUUAGGAGCUAUAGAGAUAGUACCGUAAGGGAAAGAUGAAAGAUCGAUUAACAGCACUAAAAAGCAAAGAUUCACCCUUGUACCUUUUGCAUAAUGAAUUAGCUAGAAAUCAUUUGGCAAAAAGAAUUUUAGUCAAAGACCCCGAAACUAGACGAGCUAUCUGCGAGCAGCUCUCAAGAACGAACCCGUCUAUGUGGCAAAAUAGUGGGACGACUUGCAGAUAGAGGUGAAAAGCCAAACGAGCCUAGUGAUAGCUGGUUGUCCAAACAAGAAUUUUAGUUCAACUUUAUGCCUACCAGCAGAAACUCUAAUCAAAAUGUAAGCAUAAAAUCUAAUCUAAGAGGGGACAGCCCCUUAGAACCAGGAUACAGCCUGAAUUGGAGAGUAAGUUUCACCUACUACCAUAGUUGGCCUAAAAGCAGCCACCAAUUAAGAAAGCGUUAAAGCUCAACAUCAACCCGAAAACCAAAUCCCACAUAUAACUACAAACUCCCAAAACACUAAUACUGGACCAAUCUAUAAACUUAUAGAAGAAACACUGCUAAUAUGAGUAACAAGAACCCACCUUCUCCUCAGCACAAGCUUAUAUCAGAUCGAAUACUCACUGAUAGUUAACAAUGAUACGUAAACACCCCACACCUAAAAACUUACGUAAUUUCUACUGUUGACCCGACACAGGAGUGCAAUCAAGGAAAGAUUAAAAGGAGUGGAAGGAACUCGGCAAACCCAAGCCCCGCCUGUUUACCAAAAACAUCACCUCUAGCAUCACAAGUAUUAGAGGCACUGCCUGCCCAGUGACGCAAGUUCAACGGCCGCGGUAUCCUGACCGUGCAAAGGUAGCAUAAUCACUUGUUCCUUAAUUAGGGACUUGUAUGAAUGGCAACACGAGGGCUUAGCUGUCUCCCACCCCGAAUCAGUGAAAUUGACCUCCCCGUGAAGAGGCGGGGAUAAGACAAUAAGACGAGAAGACCCUAUGGAGCUUUAAUUAACUGGCUUACGCAAACAAACCACUCCUCUACACGAGCCCAGCAAAUUAUGCCCCUAAGCCAGAAAUUUUGGUUGGGGUGACCUCGGAGCAUAAAUCAACCUCCGAAUGGAUACAGCCAUGACUAACCCGUCUAAGCAACUAAACCAUCAAUUGACCCAAUUUAUUGAUCAAUGGAACAAGUUACCCUAGGGAUAACAGCGCAAUCCUAUUCUAGAGUCCCUAUCGACAAUAGGGUUUACGACCUCGAUGUUGGAUCAGGACACCCAAAUGGUGCAACCGCUAUUAAAGGUUCGUUUGUUCAACGAUUAAAGUCCUACGUGAUCUGAGUUCAGACCGGAGUAAUCCAGGUCGGUUUCUAUCUAUUCACUCACUCCUCCCAGUACGAAAGGACAAGAGAAGUAGAGCCCACUGUACCCUCAGCGCUCUAAGCCCAAUAGAUGAAACAAUCUCAAUCUAGUAAACUAAUCCUACCCUGCCCUAGACCAGGGCUU
RNAcentral lists this ribosomal RNA (1572 nucleotides) under Ochotona hyperborea (northern pika). RNAcentral's name for it is "16S ribosomal RNA". It matches the Rfam family "Bacterial large subunit ribosomal RNA", at positions 262 to 2853 of the family's 2925-position model. Lineage: Eukaryota; Metazoa; Chordata; Mammalia; Lagomorpha; Ochotonidae. The record is from RNAcentral.